Molecule: long non-coding RNA, 363 nt
Organism: Carassius carassius (crucian carp)
Lineage: Eukaryota; Metazoa; Chordata; Actinopteri; Cypriniformes; Cyprinidae
Exons: 4
Source: RefSeq, a predicted model, not a curated record
GUACUUUCAGAACAAACAACUUCCUGUGAAUGUAGCAGUCCAUCAUGUCUGUAUUCCUGGACAUUGUUCAUGUUAUCAGACACUGUGUUUUUCCCCUUCUUAACUUACUCGGUGUUCUUCCUUGGUGGGCCCCUGAGGGUCUCAGGACAGAAAAGGUGGAUGAGCACUCCAGCCGUCUCCAUGAUGGUCUACCUGAGAGACGCCCACUGGAGCUGAGAAAGAUGGAGUGGAUGAGCACUCCAGCUGUCGCUAUGGUCUACCUGAGAGAUGCCCACUGGAGCUGAGAAAGAUGGAGUGGGGUGAGCAACACACCAGCCGUCUCCGUCAUGGUCUGGCUGAGACAUGCGCAGUGGAGCUGAGAAA